RNAcentral lists this ribosomal RNA (340 nucleotides) under uncultured Nitrospirota bacterium. RNAcentral describes it as "bacterial SSU rRNA". It matches the Rfam family "Bacterial small subunit ribosomal RNA", at positions 28 to 351 of the family's 1533-position model. Lineage: Bacteria; Pseudomonadati; Nitrospirota. The record is from RNAcentral.
GAUGAACGCUGGCGGCGUGCCUAACACAUGCAAGUCGAGCGAGAAAGUCCCCGCAAGGGGAUGAGUAAAGCGGCGAACGGGUGAGUAACACGUGGGCAACCUGCCCUUCAGUCAGGAAUAACCCCGCGAAAGCGGGGCUAAUACCGGAUGACGUCCUUUGGGGGCAUCCUUGGGGGACCAAAGGGGGCGAGCGUAAGCGGCUCCCGCUGAAGGAUGGGCCUGCGGCUGAUUAGCUAGUUGGUGGGGUAGCGGCCUACCAAGGCGACGAUCAGUAGCCGACCUGAGAGGGUGACCGGCCACACUGGGACUGAGACACGGCCCAGACUCCUACGGGAGGCUG